This is a long non-coding RNA of Triticum aestivum (bread wheat), 1284 nucleotides long. RefSeq lists it as uncharacterized. The transcript is spliced from 4 exons. The record is from RefSeq and is a predicted model, not a curated record. Lineage: Eukaryota; Viridiplantae; Streptophyta; Magnoliopsida; Poales; Poaceae.
GCUCAGUACUACGUAGUAUUCCAUUAUUUUCCUCCAUAGUCUAUCUUCUCCCAUGGCGCCCCAUUCCCCUGUUGUAUCCUCUUCUUCCUCCUCUCCCUCGCCUCUCCAAUGGCCAUGGCAUCCUCUCUCUCUCCCCGGCCCCCUAAUGCCAAUCGGGAAGGAAACUGUACUAGGCCUGCUUUCCCCUCUUCUCCGGCGUCUCCUUCGGCUCGGCUUCUUCAGAUCUCCAGAUCAACCAAGAGGAUCGAAUCCUCUUCUUCGCUAGGUCAUGUCGCUCCAGCUCAAAUGUCUUGAGCCGAGGCUCCUCAUUGUCUCCAUGCUCGCCUAUUUGCUUACAAGAAAACAGGAGGAUCCGCAGGAACAUGAGAUUCCGGAUGGCCGGGGAGAGUGCUCCGGUGGUGCUGUUCAAUCGCAGUGCCACCAGCCGCGUCGGCCUCCGGUGGCUGCUGGUCACGCCUUCCCAGCUGCAGAAGCCGGUGCUGCUGUUCCAAGAGGCCAGCGAGCCACCAUGGCUAACAUGGGCUUUGAAAGCAAGCAACGCGGAAUCGCUUUCAUUAUCUCUGUGUUGCCAUCUUUGCCACAACACCCUGAAUUCUUCCUUAGAUGCAGGGGAGAUGGCGUGUAAAACAGUUUGCUCUUUCUUGCCCCUUCCCUUUUGUUUUGAUAGCUUAGUUUUUGCUUUCUUUUCGGGUUGAUUUGUACGGCUUUGAGUCAUUUUACUGACGUUUCUCCUAAUACAACGACAAACAUGAAGCAUGAAGUAAUGUUGCCUGCAUGCGCACAGUUUUGAGAAUGGGAAAACAAUUAUACUGCUUGGUUUCAGAAACUCUCUAGAACUUGCUCUAGUGCUAUUAUUACAGAACACCAUGCUUCUGCAUUUAUUUGAUAUAGGAGUAGUUGUAAAAGCAACAUACAUAGCUUUGAGAACAAUUACUAACUGAAACAACACAUAAUUUUUAUUAUUAUGCAGGAUCAUGUCUUAUACUAGCUUGUUUAUUCAACGCCGUUCUGAAUUUCUUGAGUCGGAGCUUCUCUUUCUGCUCCAUGGUCCCCAAUAAACAUGAGUCCAGCCACAUGCUUGGGUCAGCUAUCUCCAAGGUUCUACCUGGAAGAGCAUCAUCGGCAAACUUAUGCAGAUCCAACGAAUCUCUGAACGUGCCUUCUGUUGGGCUCCUUCCGGUAAACAUCUCAAGCAGUAAUAUGCCAAAACUAUAAAUAUCACCAGCUGCUGAGACCGCAGAGCCUUCGCCAUACUCUGCAAUUAUGCAAAGUUUUGUGGUUAGC